CCUGCGAGCUUCCUCCAAGUCCAAGAAAAGCUGAGGGUCGAGUUCAGCAUUCCAGUUGAUUUGAUCUUUGUACAUAUCAGGACUUGGUAGAGGAAACAAUUUGCAUGGAAGGCGGUUCUUUGCCCAGAACCGUUUCUUGGCCUGUUGAAAGGACUCCUUACCUGCGGAAUCGUACCAUUCCAUGAUUUUUGUAAAUUUUGAUGCGUCUUGCUUUGCGUACAAGAAAAUUUUCCACUUCAUUCCUCCCACAUCCAAGCAGAAUCGUUUCUCCCAUGCCGGAACAAAAUCUGUAUGAUAUUGAUGCUGUUGGUUUCCUGGCAUGGUUUCUCAGAAAAAGAUUAGUCCUAAGAACUAUAGAGAGGGAGUUAACUAAUCGCUACUCUUUUAAGUUUACCAAGUGAAACUACAACGUUAUUUAUAAGCGAAGGAUUGGUGUAAUUUGGGUAGAAAUAGAUUACUCUUUCCCGUUUGGAUUUGGAUUACAAUAUCAAAAGCAAAGUUUUCUUUCCAAUACCCACAGCGCUUGGGUAAACCAUCUUAUGGUAAAGGAUCAAUUAUUCAAUAUUAUUAGAGUUAUUUAUGCUUUUCACUUUCCAUAUAUUUUUGCAUUGCUUAAGUGGGUAAUUUUAAGUAAUAACUUUUACAUUACUGAAAAAUAAAUGCACCUAAAAUAUUUUAAAAAUUUAACUUCUCAUGAAGACACAGAGAACUUCAAUAGUAAUAAAAUAAUUAUUAAAUGCUCAUAAGUGCAAUGUAAUCUACGAAUUUCUUUGGAGGGUAGAGUAGUUCAAUCAAAUUAGCACAUUAUUUCCUCUUUGUCCUCAAAAGAACUAUCUCCCAAUUUUCUGUAGUUCUAAAUGGGAAGCUCUCAGAGUCUUUGAUGAAUCUGUCAUUUCUGUCACCUGAAAUGUAAUACAGGAUACUCGCACGGCUGCUUACAAAGUUAUUUGAGCCUGGAAAUUUGAAAUCAGAGAUUAAGAGCUUUCAAGACCUGGAUCUUUACCUUAGAAUAUUAGAGGUGUACUGCAGCGACUGUGUAGAAAAAACUUGAACUUGGAUAGCGUUUCGACAAUUUUCACACAUAUAUUCCUAAGCCGAGUUCUUUUGGUUCGGUUUCCACCAUCCAUGGUGGCUUAUUCAUUAUAAAGUUGAUUGUUCCUUCUGCAGCACGUUGGAGAAGAACUUCCCUUGCCUCAAUUGCGAUACCUUCAGGCUCUUCUGGAAACCAGACCCCUGGCUGCGUGCUUCCUUCAAGAACUGCAAGAACAAAAGCAGCAGUUGCAUUCCCCACAGAUACAGAUAGUCUCCUAUGACUAAAUAUGCCAAGUGUAUUGCGGCCAUCAGUGCACUCCAAAUCAACCCUCAUUGAUACUCGUUCACCAGCAAUCCUAUCAACUGCUCGGACUACAGGAUCAAACAAUUGAACCAAUUGUUGGACUUUGCUUCUGUCCCUUAGAUAUUCCUGCAAUAUUUAAAUAAAUUGCAUAAUCGCAUCAAUCUUCUGGAAUUAGAUGGCUCUUUGAAUUGAAGGAUUCCUUACAGUUUUCAGUCACUGAAAGUUGCUAUAUACAAAGACAACUCAAUAGGAACAAAAUCAUAGGACACUUAAAAUACAAGGCUAGAGGCAACAAACUCUCAGCUUUGGAAGUGCAUACUGGAGGAAGAAGAUUUGUCAUGGCUUCCAUUCCCCAAUUCCAGAAGAAAGGUGCAGUUCCAAAUCGAGCACUAACAGUUGGUACUCCUAGAACCUCAUAAGCACUUUGUACCUCCGGCAAGUUCCUGAAAAUAAAGUUAUAUUCACUAGAACAACAACAGCAGCAGGCAAACAGCUGCACAUUAUUUGAUUCAAGGAGGCAAGAGAAUUUUAUUUAGGAACUGGAAGUUACGAAGUUUAUCCCAGAUGGUAUGUCACCAAUAUAUGGGCACAACCAGCGACUGUACAUUUUCUGCUGGAAGUGGAAACAGUGAAGGCUAUGCUUCUCAUAUUUUAUUCAUUCCGUGGUUAGGGAUAAGAGCAUCCCUAAAAAUUUUGCAAUUCUUAAGUAUGCAAUGUGAAAAUUUCUACAUGAGUAAUUAAUACAACCACAUUGAUAUUAUAAUCAGAAUUGGUUUAACAGUAUAGGAUGCUUAAGCACUGUGAUUAGUGCGGAUAUGAUUACCUUCAUGAAUAGAUAACUCCAAACAAAGAAAUGAAAGUUUUUACGGCUCUUUGAGGAAUUUCUUUCAAAGAGAACUUACAACAGAUAAACAUCUCUUUUUCCAAUCCCUUUGCCAAAGUCAAUGUUGAGCAUUCCACUAUAUGGCUUCAGUUUGACCUUUUCUCCUUUACUAUAUGCAACAACCUCCUCGCCAAGAAGCAAGAAACUAGUAGCUAAUAUGGUUGGACCAGCACCACCAGUUCCCGCUGUGUAGUAAUGGAACCUCAGCCUCUCUGGCUUCCCUUUGCUUUCUGUUCUAGCAACACGAACUAGCUCUGCUGCCAUCACUGUCACAAUAUUCAUUAGAAAAUUUGUGUGUGAUCCAACAAAAAUAAAUUUGCAAAUAUAAGGAAGCUUUCCCUACUUAAAAAUGUCAAAUCUGUCUCACUUGUACAUAAUAUAAUUUCUCACGUAAUUCAGCUGGUGUUCUCACAUUUGCUAGUUUGAAGUCCAGAACUCCAAAUCGAGGAUUUGCAUAAGGUUGCCAGUGGCACAACCUUCAUGCAGACCGUAUGAGCAUGAAUCCAAGAAAAGAUUCAGAAACUCAAAUAAACAAGCAUAGUUGAGCUACAAUUUCAAAGAAGUCAUCUCAAAACAACAAAACCAAUUACUUCGAUUUGCACAUGUAUUCAAAAGGAUUUAGAUCUAUGAUCCAUUGAUCAGUCCAAAGCCACAACACAAGAUAAGUUACACUAAUAUGCCCAUAAAAUUCACCAAUGAUAAGUUUGAUUGGAAAUUUAUAUGGCAUGGAUUUCACACUGGGAAACUAAUACCCCACAUUGUCCAAGUAAAUAGUCUAAAAGUAAAAUCACAAAUCAAGAAUGCAGUUAUUGUACCAUUGCUUACUCCAGGAUAGAUUCCACCAGAUGUUAUGGCAGGAACGUUAGCAGCUAAAGCUCUUUCCUUGAAGGAUUUUGCACGUAGUGCAUAGCUUGUAUCAUCACAAACAUCAACAUAUGCGGUCUGUUGGAAGAGAAAAAAGACAGUCGUAAGAUAAUACCCUGUAACUAACGUAUCAUAUACACAAAUCAGAAGAUCCAACUUCAACGUUGGAAUGCAGACACUUAUUACCUUGCCUCACCUUGGUCUCUAUGGCAGCUUCAAGAACACUGCAUUUCUCUGCCUGUUGAAAAGGUCCUGCAGCAUGAACCACAAGAUCCACAUCUGCAGAGGAACUGAUACAGUUACAGGAUGCCUGAAGAAUGUUCUUUAAUUAUAUCAUGCUUCCAAUUCGUGGGCAUCAAUUAAUACCAGUAUUUCACAUUCUUUUCAAAAAUCUUGAUCAAUUAAUGGCAUAAAACUGGAUUCUUUAAAGAUAUGUUAUCUUGGCUCAUAAAGGUAGAACUAGUUGCUUUAAAAUUGAAGUAAAUACAGAAGAGGGUUAUAUAACUGGAGUAGGAAGAACUACUGCACCACUUAAAGCAGCUUCCAAUGAUUCUACUUUGUCAAUAUUGACUUCAACAAAAUCUGAAUUCUUCCCCAAUUUAGCCACCAUUGCAGUACCUUUUUCCCUAUUCCGACCACCAAUAACAAGUCGAAGGUCAGGGCAGAGCUUGGAGAGAGCAAUGGCGGUGGACCCGCCAACCCGACCCGUUCCACCUAGUACCAAGACCCUCGAGUUCCGGGUCUUAUCGGGAAGUUCAACUCUACCAUUAUCAUGGGUGGUCUCUUUAACGCAGGCCAUCAAGCUUGUGCUCUUCCAGUGAAACAGAGCUCGCGCCAUUUCUCUCUCUCUCUCUCU
This 3939-nucleotide unclassified non-coding RNA is filed under the name Hevea brasiliensis (rubber tree). Lineage: Eukaryota; Viridiplantae; Streptophyta; Magnoliopsida; Malpighiales; Euphorbiaceae. The record is from RNAcentral.